UGGGUAAUCUACCCUCGGUUUCGGGAUAACCCGGGGAAACCCGGAUUAAUACCGAAUGGCCUCUCGAGCUCUUGGGCUCGUGAGAAAAGGUAGCUUCGGCCUCUGACCGAGGAUGAGCCCGCGGCCGAUUAGCUAGUUGGUGGGGUAAUGGCCCACCAAGGCGACGAUCGGUAGCUGGUCUGAGAGGACGAUCAGCCACACUGGGACUGAGACACGGCCCAGACUCCUACGGGAGGCAG
Molecule: ribosomal RNA, 239 nt
Filed under: uncultured bacterium
Lineage: Bacteria
Description: partial 16S ribosomal RNA
Rfam family: Bacterial small subunit ribosomal RNA
Source: RNAcentral